This 253-nucleotide ribosomal RNA is filed under the name uncultured bacterium. RNAcentral's name for it is "partial 16S ribosomal RNA". It matches the Rfam family "Bacterial small subunit ribosomal RNA", at positions 524 to 776 of the family's 1533-position model. The record is from RNAcentral.
UACGUAGGGGGCGAGCGUUGUCCGGAAUUACUGGGCGUAAAGGGCGAGUAGGCGGUUGCGUAAGUCAGAUGUGAAAUACCAGGGCUUAACCCUGGGGCUGCAUUUGAAACUGCGUAACUUGAGUGCAGGAGAGGAAAGUGGAAUUCCCAGUGUAGCGGUGAUAUGCGUAGAUAUUGGGAGGAACACCAGUGGCGAAGGCGACUUUCUGGACUGUAACUGACGCUGAGGCGCGAAAGCGUGGGGAGCAAACAGG